UACGAAGGGGGCUAGCGUUGCUCGGAAUUACUGGGCGUAAAGCGCACGUAGGCGGAUAUUUAAGUCAGGGGUGAAAUCCCGGGGCUCAACCCCGGAACUGCCUUUGAUACUGGGUAUCUCGAGUCCGAGAGAGGUGAGUGGAAUUCCGAGUGUAGAGGUGAAAUUCGUAGAUAUUCGCAAGAACACCAGUGGCGAAGGCGGCUCACUGGCCCGAUACUGACGCUGAGGCACGAAAGCGUGGGGAGCAAACAGG
RNAcentral lists this ribosomal RNA (253 nucleotides) under uncultured bacterium. RNAcentral describes it as "partial 16S ribosomal RNA". It matches the Rfam family "Bacterial small subunit ribosomal RNA", at positions 524 to 776 of the family's 1533-position model. The record is from RNAcentral.